GCGGCUAUGGUGUAACGGCAGCACUAGAGGUUGUGGACCUCCCAGUUCCGGUUCGAAACCGGAUAGCCGCCCA
This 73-nucleotide transfer RNA is filed under the name Chloroflexota bacterium. RNAcentral's name for it is "Chloroflexi bacterium tRNA-His". It matches the Rfam family "tRNA". Rfam says of the family: Transfer RNA (tRNA) molecules are approximately 80 nucleotides in length. Their secondary structure includes four short double-helical elements and three loops (D, anti-codon, and T loops). Lineage: Bacteria; Bacillati; Chloroflexota. The record is from RNAcentral.